UAGGGAAUAUUAGAAAUGGACGAAAGUCUGAUCUAGCAACACCGCGUGUGCGAAGAAGGCCUUCGGGUCGUAAAGCACUUUUUGGAAGGAUUAGGAAGGAAUGUACUUCCAGAAUAAGUCUCGGCUAACUACGUGCCAGCAGCCGCGGUAAAACGUAGGAGGCGAGCGUUAUCCGGAUUUACUGGGCGUAAAGCGUGUGUAGGCGGUUUGAUAAGUUGGAUGUGAAAGCUCCUGGCUUAACUGGGAGAGGUCGUUCAAAACUAUCAGACUUGAGAGUGGUAGAGGGAGGUGGAAUUCCGCAUGUAGUGGUGAAAUGCGUAGAUAUGCGGAGGAACACCAGUGGCGAAAGCGGCCUCCUGGCCCAUUUCUGACGCUAAGAUACGAAAGCGUGGGGAGCAAACA
Molecule: ribosomal RNA, 402 nt
Filed under: uncultured prokaryote
Description: bacterial SSU rRNA
Rfam family: Bacterial small subunit ribosomal RNA
Source: RNAcentral